This 580-nucleotide ribosomal RNA is filed under the name uncultured bacterium. RNAcentral describes it as "bacterial SSU rRNA". It matches the Rfam family "Bacterial small subunit ribosomal RNA", at positions 100 to 713 of the family's 1533-position model. The record is from RNAcentral.
GCACGGGUGAGUAACACGUGAAUCAUCUACCUUCGAGUGGGGAAUAACUGAGAGAAAUCUUGGCUAAUACCGCAUAAUACCUACGGGUCAAAGCAGCAAUGCGCUUGAAGAGGAGUUCGCGGCAGAUUAGUUAGUUGGCGGGGUAAUGGCCCACCAAGACGAUGAUCUGUAUCCGGCCUGAGAGGGCGCACGGACACACUGGAACUGAAACACGGUCCAGACUCCUACGGGAGGCAGCAGUGGGGAAUUUUGCGCAAUGGGGGAAACCCUGACGCGGCAACGCCGCGUGGAGGAUGAAAUAUCUUGGUAUGUAAACUCCUUUCGAUGGGGAAGAUAAUGACGGUACCCAUAGAAGAAGCCCCGGCUAACUUCGUGCCAGCAGCCGCGGUAAUACGAGGGUGCGAGCGUUGUUCGGAAUUAUUGGGCGUAAAGGGUGUGUAGGCGGUUUGGUAAGUCUUGUGUGAAAUCUUCGGGCUCAACUCGAAGUCUGCACGAGAAACUGCCGGGCUUGAGUGUGGGAGAGGUGAGUGGAAUUUCCGGUGUAGCGGUGAAAUGCGUAGAUAUCGGAAGGAACACCUGU